This 287-nucleotide unclassified non-coding RNA is filed under the name Hevea brasiliensis (rubber tree). Lineage: Eukaryota; Viridiplantae; Streptophyta; Magnoliopsida; Malpighiales; Euphorbiaceae. The record is from RNAcentral.
GACUAACAACUGCAGUAGCAGGUGCGUGGAAAAGCAUCCUCGAAAAUCUAACGCCUCAUGAGUCUUCUAUUUUCAUUGUUGUUCAAAUCAAAUCACCAAUUGGACUGCAAUUAAUGAAAUAUUUCAUUCACAUAGCAAGACCUUGAACCACCAUUCCAAACAAUUCCAAAAGAGCCUACAAGAUAUACAUAAAGUAGAACCAAUAUGAUAGCAAAAACCCAAAACUCCAAAUAGAAACUAAAUCUCUCCCUAUCUCAUAUGCCUGUAAACUUGAUAAUUGCUAAUAU